This is a long non-coding RNA of Xenopus laevis (African clawed frog), 979 nucleotides long. RefSeq lists it as uncharacterized. The record is from RefSeq and is a predicted model, not a curated record. The transcript has 6 exons. NCBI's taxonomy places the organism in Eukaryota, Metazoa, Chordata, Amphibia, Anura, Pipidae.
AGGGGGUGGAGGAUUUAAUUCUUCCUCUAGCAGGCAGCUGCCCCUCCUUCGUUCAGUGCAGCCUGCAGUCUGGAGAGUAGAGAGUUGGAGCUUGGCACUUGCUCUCCGGUACUGUAGCACAGAAGCCCACACUUGCCCCUGAGUGGAACAAGAGGUCCCUCCGUACUCGGGAGAGGGGAGACGUGUCGUGUUAUAAGCCCACGUGCACCUUUUAUUGGGUUGACUAGACGCGAUGGAGAAUCAAAGUGGAACGCAACAUGGCGCUGGAACGCAUCACGGAACCUCAGUCUACACGGAAGCUGAAGUGACGCGUAUCCUGUCACACUUUUCCGGUCCUGCGGAGUUUCUGCAAGUGCCGACAGUCACUAAUACACGGCGGCAACUAGAAACGCUGCGCAAGAGGACGGUGGAUUUGGAACUACACGGGCUGACUUUAGCUGAGUAUCACAAAAAGGCAUGGAUACCACGUGGAUUACGACCUGCUGAUGGUGAUGUGCUGACGUGCCCCUAGCAGUGAAUGCUUUCCUGUAACAUCUUAUGCUCUUUCUGGCCUACUACUGUGUUAUGGUUAUACUUCACGUGUGUCAAACUCUACUUUAUUAUCUUGGUACUUGCCCACAGAGGAUACAGACAUGGACACUGACUGAUUGGCCACGCCUCAAACUCCGUUAUUCAGCCUCUCCAUGUGCAAACUUUUCCUGAAGUACUAAAUUGGACUCAACACAAGCGACAGAUGUGAUGAACUGACAGCUGUUUGGCUCAUUUGAACCUGGGUGCAGUCACCUUUCGAAAACAUAUCAGUAUGGCUUCUUCUGUUUUCUUGUUUGAAAUGACAUUACCCAUGUUACUAUUUUGGACUAGCACCUUGUCAAAAAAGAAAAACAAACACACCCGGUAAUGUUUUAGUGCCUUUACUGACACAAUCUUUGUCAAAAUCCAAAACAGUUGAACAACAAUAAAAAGACAAUAUAUAUCAGUA